UACAGAGGGGGCAAGCGUUAUUCGGAAUUAUUGGGCGUAAAGGGCGCGUAGGCGGUCGUUUAAGUCAGAUGUGUAAUCCCCGAGCUCAACUUGGGAACUGCAUCUGAGACUGGAGGACUAGAGUGCUGGAGAGGGUGGUAGAAUUCCACGUGUAGCGGUGAAAUGCGUAGAGAUGUGGAGGAAUACCAGUGGCGAAGGCGGCCACCUGGACAGUAACUGACGCUGAGGCGCGAAAGUGUGGGUAGCAAACAGGAUUAGAUACCCUGGUAGUCCACACUGUAAACGAUGAACACUUGGUGUGUCGGGAGUUGACCCCCGACGUGCCGUAGCUAACGCGUUAAGUGUUCCGCCUGGGGAGUACGGUCGCAAGGCUG
This 374-nucleotide ribosomal RNA is filed under the name uncultured prokaryote. RNAcentral's name for it is "bacterial SSU rRNA". It matches the Rfam family "Bacterial small subunit ribosomal RNA", at positions 524 to 896 of the family's 1533-position model. The record is from RNAcentral.